Lycium ferocissimum is the source of this 1129-nucleotide RNA transcript. RefSeq lists it as uncharacterized. NCBI's taxonomy places the organism in Eukaryota, Viridiplantae, Streptophyta, Magnoliopsida, Solanales, Solanaceae. The record is from RefSeq and is a predicted model, not a curated record. The transcript has 2 exons.
GAUUGAGCUUGUUGAGACUGGCAUGCGACAGGCACAUGACUUUGAGUGUCUAAGUGAGCGUGUUUCCGGUGCCCCACCUCAGGAAACAGGUGGUCGUGGUCUCCGAGGAGCUAGUGGCCAUCACAGAGGUGGUAGGGCUCGCAGAGGUGGUGAGGCUCCGUCGACUUCAGAGAUCCCGUCGAGUUCUUACCGGCCGUCGACUACAGAUAACCCAUCGACUUCCCGGCCGUCGACUUCACAGACACCUCUGUAUACGCCUGACCCUUUGUCAGAUUAUGUGCCCUGGCCUUCAUUUCUAGCUCCACCAGUUCAUGAUCCACAGGGUGAGCGGCCGGUUCGUGAUCUACAGGGUGGCCUACAUCUGGACUUCGACGCCAUAUUCGAGGACUUUGUGUUUGAUACGACACCAUCUGCAUCUCCUGCUCCGGCGGCCGCUCUGGAGCCUUCUCACCAGGCAUCUCAGGGGGCCGUUGACACACAGGUUUGAUUUUUAGAAUAAAAUAAUUUAUUAAUUAUUUUUUCAUAUGUUAUUUCAUGUUUAGUUUAGAAUAAAUUCUAAACUAAAUUGUUUAUAUGUUAUUUCAGGUUCAUUCUUCUACGCCUGUGGACCCAUCUCCGGCUCUAGCUACAGCUCUGAGGCCCACUCAGGAGACCGUUCAGGAGCCAGCUCAGGAGCUCUCUCACCAGCCAUCUCAGGAGGCCGUCGACACACAGGUUCAUUCUUCUGCGCCUGUGGACGGGUCUCCUAAUGAGAUUGACGAGACUCCUGAUGCUGUUGUCCCACUGCCACCGCCCACCGUCAUCUCCCAUAGGAAGCAUGUUAUGAACCAGGGUCCGGGUCGAAUGAAGGGAAGGAAGGGAAGCAAGGAUGAUCAUUCCAUAGAACAUGUACAUAUUAAGAGGAGGAAGGGGGAUGAAGAUGAUGGUGAGGGUGGUGGGGUUGGCCUUAGGCCUAGCCGUACUCUAAAGGCUCCCAGAUGUGGGACCUGAGAUUGUGUAUUUGUAAAUAAAGUGUUUAUUUUAUGUUAAUAUUAUAUAUAUUUUUGGUUAUUAUUUUCUUAAUGAUAAUUAGUUAUCUUAGUCUUUAUUGUCAAUUAAUAAUAACUCGUGCGACGUCCUAAAUUAAUCA